AUUGAACGCUGGCGGCAGGCCUAACACAUGCAAGUCGAGCGGAUGAAGGGAGCUUGCUCCUGGAUUCAGCGGCGGACGGGUGAGUAAUGCCUAGGAAUCUGCCUGGUAGUGGGGGAUAACGUCCGGAAACGGGCGCUAAUACCGCAUACGUCCUGAGGGAGAAAGUGGGGGAUCUUCGGACCUCACGCUAUCAGAUGAGCCUAGGUCGGAUUAGCUAGUUGGUGGGGUAAAGGCCUACCAAGGCGACGAUCCGUAACUGGUCUGAGAGGAUGAUCAGUCACACUGGAACUGAGACACGGUCCAGACUCCUACGGGAGGCAGCAGUGUGGAAUAUUGGACAAUGGGCGAAAGCCUGAUCCAGCCAUGCCGCGUGUGUGAAGAAGGUCUUCGGAUUGUAAAGCACUUUAAGUUGGGAGGAAGGGCAGUAAGUUAAUACCUUGCUGUUUUGACGUUAUCAACAGAAUAAGCACCGGCUAACUUCGUGCCAGCAGCCGCGGUAAUACGAAGGGUGCAAGCGUUAAUCGGAAUUACUGGGCGUAAAGCGCGCGUAGGUGGUUCAGCAAGUUGGAUGUGAAAUCCCCGGGCUCAACCUGGGAACUGCAUCCAAAACUACUGAGCUAGAGUACGGUAGAGGGUGGUGGAAUUUCCUGUGUAGCGGUGAAAUGCGUAGAUAUAGGAAGGAACACCAGUGGCGAAGGCGACCACCUGGACUGAUACUGACACUGAGGUGCGAAAGCGUGGGGAGCAAACAGGAUUAGAUACCCUGGUAGUCCACGCCGUAAACGAUGUCGACUAGCCGUUGGGAUCCUUGAGAUCUUAGUGGCGCAGCUAACGCGAUAAGUCGACCGCCUGGGGAGUACGGCCGCAAGGUA
RNAcentral lists this ribosomal RNA (872 nucleotides) under uncultured Pseudomonadales bacterium. Its description in RNAcentral is "bacterial SSU rRNA". It matches the Rfam family "Bacterial small subunit ribosomal RNA", at positions 28 to 895 of the family's 1533-position model. Lineage: Bacteria; Pseudomonadati; Pseudomonadota; Gammaproteobacteria; Pseudomonadales. The record is from RNAcentral.